Molecule: long non-coding RNA, 405 nt
Organism: Puntigrus tetrazona (Sumatra barb)
Lineage: Eukaryota; Metazoa; Chordata; Actinopteri; Cypriniformes; Cyprinidae
Exons: 3
Source: RefSeq, a predicted model, not a curated record
GGAAUUAGCCGUGGGGAACAGAGACAAGCUCUCUUUCAUACGGUUCUGGAGCCAUAAGAGAAAGUGCAAAGGCUACAAUGCUGCAAAUAAAAGAAAAUAUUUUGUAGUCAAGAAGACGAGGUCAUCAAGCUGUGGAGAUGCUUGGUGAAAACGUUUGUGUGCAGACCGGGAGGGCCGAAACUCACGUCCCUGUUAUUCUCCUCCAGAACCUGGUCGCUCUUGCUGAGAAUGAUGUCACAUCCUCCGAGCAGCGGAUCCGCUUCCUGCUCUGCCUCCUCCGCUUUUCUGUGUGAUCUGCUGUAUUGAAUUCGCUUCAAGCUAGGAUUUGUCCCUAAAAUGUUCCUUCCCGUCAUGUUUCAUGAUGUCUGCUUCUGAAUCUGAUGCUCAACGGUAUUUAUAAGCAUA